This 29-nucleotide ribosomal RNA is filed under the name Doronicum cacaliifolium. RNAcentral describes it as "partial 5.8S ribosomal RNA". The record is from RNAcentral. Lineage: Eukaryota; Viridiplantae; Streptophyta; Magnoliopsida; Asterales; Asteraceae. RNAcentral also lists the same sequence under 2 other names.
GACUCUCGGCAACGGAUAUCUCGGCUCAC